UGGUUGUGCUUAUCUGCCUCCCUGUUUCGAUCACUUGUAAACAUCCAAGUAUUCUACAGUUCUUGUAUAUGAUGUUUUCUAUGUUUCCUGAUAAGGAAUUUGUAUUGGAAAAACUUUUAUACCCUGCAACAAAGUAGGUAAGUCUUCUCUUCUAGUAAUUGAGAGCUUGCAGCUUCAACAAUCUCAAAGCCCAUCUUUUCGUACAGUUCCUGUGCAGGUGUGUUGUUUCUAUGCACAUGCACAUACACAUGUUCUACACCGUUAGAUUUGGCUGAUUCA
This 279-nucleotide unclassified non-coding RNA is filed under the name Hevea brasiliensis (rubber tree). The record is from RNAcentral. Lineage: Eukaryota; Viridiplantae; Streptophyta; Magnoliopsida; Malpighiales; Euphorbiaceae.